UACUCGAAUGAGUAGCUGCCGUCUGCGUUCACUUGGCUGUUGGACGACACAAUUUCGAUGGGCUUCUUAUCUCCUUGAGGUGCGGCGAGGGCCACGGCCAAGAAAGAGACAGCGACGAUCUGGCAGUGCAUCAAGUCAAAAUAAAAGGUUGUUUAGCUGCUCUUCUGAAGACAGACGAAGGAAUUGUGUGAAGAAGAUAGCGAUGUUGGCCAACUUUUAUACCUGGCAACUUCUAAUGGAUGAAAGUGAUCGGCAAAGACCUUCCACAGGGAGAAGAGAACUAUGGAAGAAGGUUGUUGUUUGCUGUUUGUGGCCACUUCUCCAUUCCCCGACUAUCAGCCCACGAGAGUUGGGAACGUUACAAGAUCCAAGGACAUAUCUCCAAGUCGAUCACGACGCGCUGUACGGUUGAGCUGAUUGCUUCUUUCCUA
Long non-coding RNA from Daphnia pulicaria, 431 nucleotides. RefSeq lists it as uncharacterized. NCBI's taxonomy places the organism in Eukaryota, Metazoa, Arthropoda, Branchiopoda, Diplostraca, Daphniidae. The record is from RefSeq and is a predicted model, not a curated record. The transcript has 3 exons.